AUUGAACGCUGGCGGCAGGCCUAACACAUGCAAGUCGAACGGUAACAGGAAACAGCUUGCUGUUUCGCUGACGAGUGGCGGACGGGUGAGUAAUGUCUGGGAAACUGCCUGAUGGAGGGGGAUAACUACUGGAAACGGUAGCUAAUACCGCAUAACGUCGCAAGACCAAAGAGGGGGACCUUCGGGCCUCUUGCCAUCGGAUGUGCCCAGAUGGGAUUAGCUAGUAGGUGGGGUAACGGCUCGCCUAGGCGACGAUCCCUAGCUGGUCUGAGAGGAUGACCAGCCACACUGGAACUGAGACACGGUCCAGACUCCUACGGGAGGCAGCAGUGGGGAAUAUUGCACAAUGGGCGCAAGCCUGAUGCAGCCAUGCCGCGUGUAUGAAGAAGGCCUUCGGGUUGUAAAGUACUUUCAGCGGGGAGGAAGGGAGUAAAGUUAAUACCUUUACUCAUUGACGUUACCCGCAGAAGAAGCACCGGCUAACUCCGUA
RNAcentral lists this ribosomal RNA (490 nucleotides) under uncultured bacterium. Its description in RNAcentral is "partial 16S ribosomal RNA". It matches the Rfam family "Bacterial small subunit ribosomal RNA", at positions 30 to 507 of the family's 1533-position model. The record is from RNAcentral.